This 422-nucleotide ribosomal RNA is filed under the name uncultured bacterium. RNAcentral's name for it is "bacterial SSU rRNA". It matches the Rfam family "Bacterial small subunit ribosomal RNA", at positions 355 to 774 of the family's 1533-position model. The record is from RNAcentral.
UGAGGAAUAUUGGGCAAUGCCCGCAAGGGUGACCCGGCAACGCCGCGUGGAGGAUGAAUGUCGUAAGAUUGUAAACUCCUGUUAGAGGGGAAGAAUAGUACCGGUUGGACCGGUAUAUGACUGUACCCUCAGAGAAAGCCCCGGCUAACUACGUGCCAGCAGCCGCGGUAAUACGUAGGGGGCAAGCGUUGUCCGGAUUUACUGGGUGUAAAGGGCGCGCAGGCGGGAUAAAAAGUCAGUGGUGAAAUCCUACAGCUUAACUGUAGAACUGCCUUUGAUACUUUUAUUCUUGAGUUCGGGAGAGAGAGACGGAAUUCCAGGUGUAGUGGUGAAAUACGUAGAUAUCUGGAAGAACACCGGUUGCGAAGGCGGUCUCUUGGUCCGACACUGACGCUGAGGCGCGAAAGCGUGGGGAGCAAACA